Molecule: long non-coding RNA, 411 nt
Organism: Belonocnema kinseyi
Lineage: Eukaryota; Metazoa; Arthropoda; Insecta; Hymenoptera; Cynipidae
Exons: 3
Source: RefSeq, a predicted model, not a curated record
CAUGUUGGGAAGAAAUUCCAUUCUUUGAAAAAAAAUGAUAAAAAUGUUGUGUUUUGUCAGGGAUGCAACCUCGUAUUAUUGAAUACGACUACAGAAAGAUUAUAAAAUUACAGAAAAAAGUGCGUUAUAAUUAUGAACGUAUUAGAAGAAAACCUGAUGCAAUUAUAUGAAAGCAGUCAAAAUAAUAAUUCCAAAAUGAGUGGUGUCAGUUUUGAUAUUCUUGGUGAUAUUUUGAUGUCGAAUGAAGUUCUGAUAAAAAACAACAAUGUUAUUUACGUAUAAUACAUUUUUUACGUAUAAUACGUCAGAAACCUCGAGUGACGCAUCACUGCACAACCCUGGCCAAAGAUAGUUUGAGCAAAGAUAUUAUGUCCUAGAUACGGUAUGAGAUUAGUUGCACCACAUACCGGU